GCCUAACACAUGCAAGUCGAACGGAGGUAGGGGCAACUCUACUUCAGUGGCGGACGGGUGAGGAAUGCGUCGGAAUCUACCCUAUGGUGGGGGAUAACACAGGGAAACUUGUGCUAAUACCGCAUAAUGUCGAGAGACCAAAGCAGGGGACCGCAAGGCCUUGCGCGAUAGGAUGAGCCGACGCCCGAUUAGCUAGUUGGUAGGGUAAUGGCCUACCAAGGCGACGAUCGGUAGCUGGUCUGAGAGGAUGAUCAGCCACACUGGGACUGAGACACGGCCCAGACUCCUACGGGAGGCAGCAGUGGGGAAUAUUGGACAAUGGGCGCAAGCCUGAUCCAGCAAUGCCGCGUGUGUGAAGAAGGCCUGCGGGUUGUAAAGCACUUUUGUUCGGGAAGAAAUCAUGCUGGUUAAUACCUGGUAUGGAUGACGGUACCGAAAGAAUAAGCACCGGCUAACUUCGUGCCAGCAGCCGCGGUAAUACGAAAGGGUGCAAGCGUUAAUCGGAA
This 506-nucleotide ribosomal RNA is filed under the name uncultured bacterium. RNAcentral's name for it is "bacterial SSU rRNA". It matches the Rfam family "Bacterial small subunit ribosomal RNA", at positions 46 to 550 of the family's 1533-position model. The record is from RNAcentral.